GGCCAAAUUGAGCCCAAGUUAGCAGCCCAAUUAACUAGACCCAAAGUAGCCAAAUAUGGAGCCCAUUUCAUCAGGUCCAAUCCGCAACCCAUUACCCAUUUCAACGACCCGGCCCAUAUCUAUUCUAUCUAAACCCUACUCUUCAGCCGCACAACUCCUCUCUCUCUCAUCUCUUUCCUCUUCCAAACAAAACCAGCCUUUCACAGCCAUGGCAGGGGCUGGACCAUUCCAUUUCCAUGCAACUUUCGAAUAUAGUCAACAUAAGAGGCCAACAAAUUUUUAUAAUUCUGAUUUUUCUACACAAGAAAAUCGAAAAGCAGAGAUUGAAUCGCAACUCGUGACAUCCCUCCCUUCACCCUCAAAUGGCUAUUUCUUUCCUCUCUAGUGUAAAAUCCUUCUUUUCUCCUCUGAACUCUGACCACAAAAGAAAGCUUUACCAAUUUUGUUCGAAUCCGUGACACCUCUUUUGACGUUUUUUCGAAUUUGAAAUUUAAAAAUCCAAAACUCUAACCUUUGUCUCCUAUAAAAUGCUACAUUAUAUCUUCAGCAAAGGAGACGUUUUUGAACGACUUGGGAACUUUACCACGCUUAACAUUUCUAUAUUUCCCCAACUACUCUAAAUCUUAGAUUUGUUUAAAUUCCAUUCUGUUUCGGCAGAUCUUAGCCACAAUAGAAAUCGUCGAACUCAUUUUGUGUCGAGGAUCGGAUUUUUUCAUAGGAGAGAGUAGAUUUGAGACCUCGACGUCCUAGUUCGCUGCACCCGCAAGAGAGCCGAAGAGUUUCACUUGAGACUCAAUGACGCCGACGUCACAAGGAGUCUUAGUACAGGAUUCCAUAUCUUUGCCAAACCAAGAGUCUGCCUCUACAAUCUUCUGUCACCGACAUCCCUCACUCUCUCUCUCUCUCGAAACAGAAAACAAAAAAAGGGACAAAACGAACAGUGAACAUCACGUAACAUUUUGUUUUCAUUCCUCUGAUUCUCAUACUCUAUUCAUGUGGUUUUUCUGGUUUGUUUGGAUGAUUGUUGGCUAUGGUUUUAAACCUCGUAGUGAGAAUAUUUUACCCGGAACUUCCCCUUA
This is a long non-coding RNA of Lycium barbarum (goji berry), 1079 nucleotides long. RefSeq lists it as uncharacterized. NCBI's taxonomy places the organism in Eukaryota, Viridiplantae, Streptophyta, Magnoliopsida, Solanales, Solanaceae. The transcript is spliced from 2 exons. The record is from RefSeq and is a predicted model, not a curated record.